This 463-nucleotide ribosomal RNA is filed under the name uncultured bacterium. Its description in RNAcentral is "SSU rRNA". It matches the Rfam family "Bacterial small subunit ribosomal RNA", at positions 26 to 518 of the family's 1533-position model. The record is from RNAcentral.
AGGACUAACGCUGGCGGCGUGCCUAACACAUGCAAGUCGAACGAGGUAGCAAUACCUAGUGGCAGACGGGUGAGUAACGCGUGGUCAACCUACCUCUUAGUGGGGGAUAACUAGCCGAAAGGUUAGCUAAUACCGCAUACGAUCGUCGCGAGGCAUCUCGUGACGAUGAAAGGAGCAAUUCGCUAAGAGAGGGGACUGCGUCCCAUUAGUUAGUUGGUGGGGUAAUGGCCUACCAAGACUCCGAUGGGUAGCUGGCUUGAGAGAGCGACCAGCCACACUGGAACUGAGACACGGUCCAGACUCCUACGGGAGGCAGCAGUGAGGAAUUUUCCGCAAUGGGCGCAAGCCUGACGGAGCGACGCCGCGUGUGGGAAGAGGCCUUCGGGUCGUAACCACUGUCGAAGGGGACGAUAUUGACGGUACCCUUGGAGGAAGCCCCGGCUAACUACGCGCCAGCAGCCGC